This is a long non-coding RNA of Musa acuminata AAA Group (dessert banana), 1379 nucleotides long. RefSeq lists it as uncharacterized. The transcript has 2 exons. NCBI's taxonomy places the organism in Eukaryota, Viridiplantae, Streptophyta, Magnoliopsida, Zingiberales, Musaceae. The record is from RefSeq and is a predicted model, not a curated record.
UCAACUGCUAGCUCUCAUUUUUGCCUUGGAAGCGCUCAUGAUCACGCAGCAGCGAUUCCGAAGCCAUGGCGGUGACGAUUAACUCGGGGAGAAUGGCAAGCCAACUACCCAUAUCACGUGCAGAGGGGUGGAGAAAAAGAGGUGAAGAGUCAAUAGAGAGAGAGAGAGAGAGAGAGAGAGGAAGAAGGAAGGGUGCACGCAUUCGUGGUCACCUCUCAGGACAGCCCAGCUGUAGGAUGGGUGCCUGCCGCUCUGUCUUGUCUUUUAUUACGUCCAUUUCCACAGACACCUCUUUCUCUCUCUCUCUCUUUAUGCUGCUGCUGCUUCUAUCUUCUUCACUGCACCCCACUAUUCCCUGUAGCCUUCGAGCACUUCCUCAGUAAUCAUUUCCUUCAUCAUGGCCUCCUAUCUCAUGUCAUCCCUCCGAUCGAUCCCCCUUGAAAGAAGCAGGAAGUCUUGGGGGAGAAGAGGAUACAAGACGAGGGAAGUCGAGCAAAGGAGACAGUCAUGAAACGGAGGAGGAGGAGGAAAAGGAAGCUUUUAAUCUUUGAGGGGAAUGUUGUCUGGCUCGAGGCCAUCAUCGAUCGUUUCUUUCGCAGAUCCAUGUGAAGGUCUCGGACCAGGCUUCAUUCCCCCCAGUCAGAGCUUCCAUUUCUUCGGUGUCGGACUUGGUUCUGCCUCUACGUUCCUGCUCUUGUUUUGGGCUUCCUGUGUUGGUUUCGCAAGGAUGAGCUGAUGGGGGGAUUAUAUAUGACUCUUUCUUUUUCCUUGCAGAUCUGCAUGCUUAGUCUUCUUGUUAAUUUGCUGAAGUAGAUAGUCUUCUUCAAGCCUUACUUGUGCUUUUUGACUUGUUUGUUUGCUGUUAAUGGAGUCUUUUAGACCUUCUCUUCUGAUGCUUGUAAUUGAGUCUGAGAAAGUUCAUCAGCGUGCAACCUAUAAAUACCCUACAGGUCUUUCUGCAAUCGGCAUGGUCAGGAGUUACCAUUGCAUGAGCUGGUGAUCAAAUUGUAUGCUUCAUGAUCUCCAAGGAAGGGAAUUCAACAUGAAGAGAUUUACUUGAUACGACCAAUCCAACCAAAUUAAUGAAAGCAUAUGGAAGUGUCAGACAAUGCUGUGUAAACAUAGGGUCUAAUUUCCAACCACAUGUCAGCAGAUGUUUCUUCUUCUUGCACCUGUAGAUCCUAAAUCCACUUCAAACUUCAUGGUCACACUGCCCAUCACAUUUUUAUCUUCUUCUUCUUCUUCUUCUUCUUCUCACCAGCUGCUGCAUUUUGUACAUUAUGCUCUUCCCAUUUGUAUGUGUGUCUUCUUGGAAGUGGUGGUUAAAAUUGCUGGACAUGAGCUUAGAUUUUCCUGCAUUUGAAGCUUCCAAUUGUCAA